GGCAGGAACGAGGCCCUCCAAGAAUCCUGUGGUACGACAAUGCAUUUGCAACACAUCUGCCGCUGCCUUGUCAGUUUUCAAGGUGUACUUUCUUCACUUUUUUUUCCCACAAUAGCUACAAAGGCUUUUCUACAGUGAGAAAGAAAAGUACUUCUGGGCUCUGAACAAGCUUUUGUGCCUUGGAAAUUCAACAGUUUUAUAGCCGUCUGAAAAAAUUCCUCGUUGCUAUGGCAAUACCAUUCUUUCACAACAAAUCCUUCUUGAAGGAUAUCAGAUUCAUUUAGGGUUGCAGCCACCUACUGUCACUGCUCUGCUCAUACCAUGUUAUAUCACAAGGCAGUCUGGAAAGAGACUUUCCCAUCAGUGACUGACUGCAGGAGUCAAAGAGGCGGUGUUCAAUGCAACUUGUGUGUUUAAGUUUUUCUAAUGAUG
This is a long non-coding RNA of Neopsephotus bourkii (Bourke's parrot), 432 nucleotides long. RefSeq lists it as uncharacterized. The transcript has 3 exons. Lineage: Eukaryota; Metazoa; Chordata; Aves; Psittaciformes; Psittacidae. The record is from RefSeq and is a predicted model, not a curated record.